AUUAGGUUGGCCAAAAAGUUCAUUCAGGUUUUUCCAUAACAUCUUACAGAAAAACUCAAAUGAACUUUUUUGUCAGUUCAAU
Molecule: microRNA precursor, 82 nt
Filed under: Ovis aries (sheep)
Lineage: Eukaryota; Metazoa; Chordata; Mammalia; Artiodactyla; Bovidae
Description: miRNA (ENSOARG00000023957.1)
Source: RNAcentral